CUAGAAGGCUUGCAAAGUUAAGAGUCA
Molecule: non-coding RNA, 27 nt
Filed under: Mus musculus (house mouse)
Lineage: Eukaryota; Metazoa; Chordata; Mammalia; Rodentia; Muridae
Source: RNAcentral